This 376-nucleotide ribosomal RNA is filed under the name uncultured bacterium. RNAcentral describes it as "bacterial SSU rRNA". It matches the Rfam family "Bacterial small subunit ribosomal RNA", at positions 524 to 898 of the family's 1533-position model. The record is from RNAcentral.
UACGGGGGGUGCAAGCGUUAUUCGGAAUCAUUGGGCGUAAAGGGCGCGUAGGCGGCCCCUUAAGUCAGAUGUGAAAGCCCUCAGCUUAACUGAGGAAGUGCAUUUGAAACUAAGGGGCUUGAGUAUGGGAGAGGGAAGCGGAAUUCCUGGUGUAGCGGUGAAAUGCGUAGAUAUCAGGAGGAACACCGGUGGCGAAGGCGGCUUCCUGGACCAAUACUGACGCUGAGGCGCGAAGGCGUGGGGAGCAAACAGGAUUAGAUACCCUGGUAGUCCACGCAGUAAACUGUGAACACUAGGUGUAGCGGGUAUUGACCCCUGCUGUGCCGAAGCUAACGCAUUAAGUGUUCCGCCUGGGAAGUACGGUCGCAAGGCUAAA